Molecule: non-coding RNA, 71 nt
Filed under: unclassified sequences
Description: DUF3800-IX RNA
Rfam family: DUF3800-IX RNA
About the family: Actinobacteria, Firmicutes (1 example), Nitrospirae, Proteobacteria, Verrucomicrobia (1 example). Nearby to DUF3800
Source: Rfam by way of RNAcentral
UCCCACCCAGCGAAGAGCUACCGGAAGGGUAGCCUGCCUGGACAAGCACCAGGCUAGCUGGGUGGGUUUUC